This is a long non-coding RNA of Sapajus apella (tufted capuchin), 295 nucleotides long. RefSeq lists it as uncharacterized. The record is from RefSeq and is a predicted model, not a curated record. The transcript is spliced from 2 exons. Lineage: Eukaryota; Metazoa; Chordata; Mammalia; Primates; Cebidae.
GGGGAAGGGAGGCGCGUGGGGUGGGGCGGGGGAGGGCCGCGAAGGGGGUGCCCCGGGCCCCGGCCUGCUGGGGGCCGCUACCGGCCUCACACCGUCCACGGGCUGGGCCUCGAUCAGAAGGACUUGGGCCCCCCACGAGCGGCGCCGGAGAGUGAAUCUUCCGUAUGCCACAUUUCCCGCGCCACACCGAGGGGUGGGGAUUGGGCGCUGGGCUCUUCCCUGUUCACUCGCCGUUACUGAGGGAAUCCUGGUUAGUUUCUUUUCCUCCGCUGACUAAUAUGCUUAAAUUCAGCGG